This is a long non-coding RNA of Python bivittatus (Burmese python), 2003 nucleotides long. RefSeq lists it as uncharacterized. Lineage: Eukaryota; Metazoa; Chordata; Lepidosauria; Squamata; Pythonidae. The record is from RefSeq and is a predicted model, not a curated record.
UGGAAGGCUGCCCAGCUUUCGGUCGCCCUGCCCGCCUUUCAGCAGCGGCUCUGAAGCCACAACCGUAACACCAGCCGCGGCGGCAGCGGCAAAUCGCCCGCUGAAAGGACAGCCCCUUGCCUUGCCCAGGUCCCCUCAGCGGGAGGGAAAGAGCCAAACGGAGCGGGGAAGAAGGAGAGCGGGCGGAGGAAAAAGUUCCCUGAUCCAAGUCCACUUGGUAAGAAUGAUUUCAUUAAAUUAUCUGUAGCACUCCCUUCAAGAAACAGCAACUCUAUAAACCAAGACAUCCCCUGGAUUGAUGUAUAGGGUGAUACCACUCAGAAGCAAUCUGAUCCAAAGCCAUAAUCACCUGCUUAUUCCAGGUGGUGAUUAAAGCAUCAGUUGGACUGCUGCUCAAAGUGAUCAAGAGUGGCCUGAUCAUGGCAGAUGUUAAUGUCUCCAACCCUCAGAUCAUGUUGCAACUUCCCUAAAGCAAAGACCACAUCCAAUGUGUAAUGGCCUAUGUGCAUGGCACUCUUGAUAAUAUGAUCAUGAUUGCCAUGAACUCCUGAACCACUUCAGACUCCAUCCCAAAGGAAAGCAAAUUGAAGUCACAAUCAUAAGUUUAAGGAACUCUACCACCAACUUAGCAACAGAAUCAAACAGUGCAAGCAGGGGGGCCAGUACAGCAGCAGCAGUCCCAACUGUUUCCUAGAGCCCAUCUUCACAAACAGAAUAUCCGAAGGGCAGCACCACUGAUAGCUUCCUGAAUGACAAUAACCAUUCUACCACCACCACCUGCCCUGGCUACAUUCACAACUGAGAUGGGCAUAUCUCAGAAAGAGGAACAACCCCCCUUCAAAUCGGCCCUCUCGCUCACAAUAAGAUCAGGAAUGAGAGAGGCCUUAUGACAAGCCAAACUAGCACUCAGCAGCAGCAGCAGCAGCAGCAGCAGCAGCAGCCAGAGACCAAGGCCACUGAGCAACAACAGCCAAUGACCUGUUAUUCAGGAUGGUCCAGGGGUUAAGAAGGCAGUAUCUGCUUCAAGCUUCAAACACAAUCUUCCCAGAGAUCAAGAUUCAUUUCACACUUAAAGCAGAAUGAUUAAAAUGAAUGGAACUUUGGGCAGCAAUAACAAGUGUUGUUGAUUUUAUUGAGACUAAAGUCUGGUUCUAACCCUGGGCUUUCAAACUAGAAGCUAGAAGAAAGCUAGAAGAAAGCAAGCUAAUGUUCAGUAAUGGGUGGUGGGAAUCUAUUUCCUUUCUCUUGCACAUUUUGUCCCAUGAGUGCCUCACUGUUGUGCUCCCUCUUUGUGUUUUGACUUAGCUGAAUACUGUUCACUGGCUGUGUAGACUCAGUAGAAGAAAAAUGUUUACCAUUUUCCUCUUGAAGAGACCAAAUAGUUGCUAAAUAGAAGGCUAAAUGGGUCUCUUUUGGAGAAGAGACAGAGACUCCUCUGAAAUUUCAAGUUCCAUCAUACUGUGAGCCUUCUGGAUUCAGCCACCAAAGACAGAUUAAAAUAAUUUGCCUAGGAAUUUAAUUUUGGUGUCCUGUAUAAAGUACAGUUCUUAAUUAGCACGCAAUAACGUUUUAUUGGCAUUUGAAGGCUAAAACAAACUUCAGACGGAUCUGAAUGUUAUACUCUUUCUUAGAAGUAUCUGUUCUUUUCCUUUUUAAUUGCAUCCAAUCUGAGGAAAACAUUUUACAUAACUCACAAACUCAUACAUCUGACUGUGAACUUUCUGAUACAGAAACUAUUUCAUUGUCCUUGUACUUUUAUACUUUUUUUUCUUCAAAUACAAUCUUUCUGUUUUAUCUUAGCAGUAGGUAUUUACCACUUCACUGUCCUUCAAACCUGUAUUUGAACUAAUAUUACCAUAAUCAUUUGUUUAUUCAUUUAUUUACUUAUAUAUAUAUUUUUAAUUCUGUUUAGUCUGUGUGCUUUCAAGUUAGCCCUGACUUGUAGUGACUGCCUGGAAAAUCCAUGCAGGUUUGUCUACAAGAUUUUCGGAAGUUUGCCAUUG